UACAGAGGCCACGAGCGUUGUUCGGAAUCACUGGGCAUAAAGCGCACGUAGGCGGCUAGGUCCGUCCGAUGUGAAAGCCCCCGGCUCAACCGGGGAAUGGCAUCGGAUACAGCCUGGCUUGAGGACGGUUGGGGUGAGUGGAACUCCUGGUGGAGCGGUGAAAUGCGUAGAUAUCAGGAGGAACACCGGUGGCGAAAGCGGCCCACUGGACCGUUACUGACGCUGAGGUGCGAAAGCUAGGGGAGCAAACGGG
This 253-nucleotide ribosomal RNA is filed under the name uncultured bacterium. RNAcentral's name for it is "partial 16S ribosomal RNA". It matches the Rfam family "Bacterial small subunit ribosomal RNA", at positions 524 to 776 of the family's 1533-position model. The record is from RNAcentral.